GGGAUGGAAACUGCUGAUCUAGAGUAUCGGAGAGGAAAGUGGAAUUCNUAGUGUAGCGGUGAAAUGCGUAGAUAUUAGGAAGAACACCAGUGGCGAAGGCGACUUUUCUGGACGAAAACUGACGCUGAGGCGCGAAAGCCAGGGGAGCGAACGGGAUUAGAUACCCCGGUAGUCCUGGCNGUAAACGAUGGGUACUAGGUGUAGGAGGUAUCGACCCCUUCUGUGCCGGAGUUAACGCAAUAAGUACCCCGCCUGGGGAGUACGACCGCAAGGUUGAAACUCAAAGGAAUUGACGGGGGCCCGCACAAGCGGUGGAGUAUGUGGUUUAAUUCGACGCAACGCGAAGAACCUUACCAGGUCUUGACAUUGAUGGACAGAACUAGAGAUAGUUCCUCUUCUUCGGAAGCCAGAAAACAGGUGGUGCACGGUUGUCGUCAGCUCGUGUCGUGAGGUGUUGGGUUAAGUCCCGCAACGAGCGCAACCCCUAUCUUAUGUUGCCAGCACGUAAUGGUGGGAACUCAUGAGAGACUGCCGCAGACAAUGCGGAGGAAGGCGGGGAUGACGUCAAAUCAUCAUGCCCCUUAUGACCUGGGCUACACACGUACUACAAUGGGAGUUAAUAGACGGGAGCGAGAUCGCGAGAUGGAGCAAACCCGAGAAACACUCUCUCAGUUCGGAUCGUAGGCUGCAACUCGCCUACGUGAAGUCGGAAUCGCUAGUAAUCGCAGGUCAGCAUACUACGGUGAAUACGUUCCCGGGCCUUGUACACACCGCCCGUCACACCACGAAAGUCGGAAGUGCCCAAAGCCGGUGGGGUAACCUUCGGGAGCC
RNAcentral lists this ribosomal RNA (831 nucleotides) under uncultured bacterium. RNAcentral describes it as "bacterial SSU rRNA". It matches the Rfam family "Bacterial small subunit ribosomal RNA", at positions 623 to 1450 of the family's 1533-position model. The record is from RNAcentral.